RNAcentral lists this long non-coding RNA (555 nucleotides) under Brassica napus (rape). RNAcentral describes it as "long non-coding RNA (BNAP_LNC023956)". Lineage: Eukaryota; Viridiplantae; Streptophyta; Magnoliopsida; Brassicales; Brassicaceae. The record is from RNAcentral.
UGGCGUGUCUAGGUAAGAGGCUGUUCAGAGCAGUCUUGGCAAGUGAGGAAGAAAGCUCUCCAUCAAUGCGGCUUCAAUGAGAGGUGAUUGAGGAGAAGCUGAUGAAUCCAUUCUGCCCUUCCAAGAAGUUGAUGAUGCCAUGAAGAUGGUGCAUUGGCCGAGUUAGAAAACUCACAAAAACACAAGGGAAGUUCCCUUAGACUUUUUUAAACUCUUUCUUCAAUCUUUUUCAUUCAUCUUAUUCAUUGCUUGUGCUUGAAAAGAUACUUAAGAUGAUCAUGAUUGAAUUAUGGGAUUGUGUGCAUCAAGUGUGAUGCAGGAUAUUCAUUUUCUUGUUUUUAAUAGGUACUGAUGCACCUUUGGGAUAAUGAAUCAGGUACCAUUGCUUGUAGCCUCAUUAAACAGUUCCGGGGAAUCUCCUAGCUUCUCUAAAGGGGCUGUGAAGUCUGUUGAGAGGGGGAGACCCUAAACCUAGUCUAUGAAGAGGGCAAGCCGAGCGUGAAGUAUUGAUCAGCCUCACUAGUGUUUUGAAGAUGAUCUGGUCGUGUCCUAGCU